Molecule: ribosomal RNA, 468 nt
Filed under: uncultured bacterium
Lineage: Bacteria
Description: partial 16S ribosomal RNA
Rfam family: Bacterial small subunit ribosomal RNA
Source: RNAcentral
GAUGAACGCUGGCGGCGUGCUUAACACAUGCAAGUCGAACGGUGAAGGCGGAGCUUGCUCUGCUGGAUCAGUGGCGAACGGGUGAGUAACACGUGAGCAAUCUGCCCCUGACUCUGGGAUAAGCGCUGGAAACGGCGUCUAAUACUGGAUACGAGCUGCGAAGGCAUCUUCAGCAGCUGGAAAGAAUUUCGGUCAGGGAUGAGCUCGCGGCCUAUCAGCUUGUUGGUGAGGUAAUGGCUCACCAAGGCGUCGACGGGUAGCCGGCCUGAGAGGGUGACCGGCCACACUGGGACUGAGACACGGCCCAGACUCCUACGGGAGGCAGCAGUGGGGAAUAUUGCACAAUGGGCGAAAGCCUGAUGCAGCAACGCCGCGUGAGGGACGACGGCCUUCGGGUUGUAAACCUCUUUUAGCAGGGAAGAAGCGAAAGUGACGGUACCUGCAGAAAAAGCGCGGGCUAACUACGUG